Molecule: ribosomal RNA, 348 nt
Filed under: uncultured bacterium
Lineage: Bacteria
Description: partial 16S ribosomal RNA
Rfam family: Bacterial small subunit ribosomal RNA
Source: RNAcentral
CCUACGGGUGGCUGCAGUGAGGAAUAUUGGUCAAUGGACGGAAGUCUGAACCAGCCAUGCCGCGUGCAGGAAGACGGCUCGAUGAGUUGAAAACUGCUUUUGUAAAAGGGUAAACCUGAAUACGUGUACCCAGCUGAAAGUACUGUACGAAUAAGGAUCGGCUAACUCCGUGCCCGCAGCCGCGGUAAUACGGAGGAUACAAGCUUUAGCCGGAUUUAAUGGGUUGACAGGGUGCGUAGGCGGUUUGCUAAGUUAGAGGUGAAAUGUCCGCGCGUACCUCGGGAACUGCCUCUCAUACUGUUGACCUAGAGCGUAGCUGCGGUAGGCGGAAUGUCUGUUGUAGCUGUG